GAUGAAUGCUGGCGGCGUGCCUAAUACAUGCAAGUCGAGCGAACGGACGAGAAGCUUGCUUCUCUGAUGUUAGCGGCGGACGGGUGAGUAACACGUGGAUAACCUACCUAUAAGACUGGGAUAACUUCGGGAAACCGGAGCUAAUACCGGAUGAUAUUUUGAACCGCAUGGUUUAAAAGUGAAAGACGGUCUUGCUGUCACUUAUAGAUGGAUCCGCGCUGCAUUAGCUAGUUGGUAAGGUAACGGCUUACCAAGGCAACGAUGCAUAGCCGACCUGAGAGGGUGAUCGGCCACACUGGAACUGAGACACGGUCCAGACUCCUACGGGAGGCAGCAGUAGGGAAUCUUCCGCAAUGGGCGAAAGCCUGACGGAGCAACGCCGCGUGAGUGAUGAAGGUCUUCGGAUCGUAAAACUCUGUUAUUAGGGAAGAACAUAUGUGUAAGUAACUGUGCACAUCUUGACGGUACCUAAUCAGAAAGCCACGGCUAACUACGUG
RNAcentral lists this ribosomal RNA (497 nucleotides) under uncultured bacterium. RNAcentral's name for it is "partial 16S ribosomal RNA". It matches the Rfam family "Bacterial small subunit ribosomal RNA", at positions 28 to 507 of the family's 1533-position model. The record is from RNAcentral.